GCCCAAUUGGUCUAGUGGUAUGAUUCUCGCUUCGGGUUUAUCCCGGCUGUUCAACAGCCUGCAUGUGGGAGGUCCCCGGUUCAAACCCGGGAUUGGGCC
Molecule: non-coding RNA, 99 nt
Organism: Tricharina praecox
Lineage: Eukaryota; Fungi; Ascomycota; Pezizomycetes; Pezizales; Pyronemataceae
Source: the annotation of a RefSeq genome assembly